This 822-nucleotide ribosomal RNA is filed under the name uncultured bacterium. RNAcentral describes it as "bacterial SSU rRNA". It matches the Rfam family "Bacterial small subunit ribosomal RNA", at positions 48 to 868 of the family's 1533-position model. The record is from RNAcentral.
CUUACACAUGCAAGUCGAACGGCAGCACGGGAGCAAUCNGGUGGCGAGUGGCGAACGGGUGAGUAAUAUAUCGGAACGUGCCCAGUCGUGGGGGAUAACGUAGCGAAAGCUACGCUAAUACCGCAUACGAUCUAUGGAUGAAAGCGGGGGAUCGCAAGACCUCGCGCGAUUGGAGCGGCCGAUAUCAGAUUAGCUAGUUGGUGGGGUAAAGGCCCACCAAGGCGACGAUCUGUAGCUGGUCUGAGAGGACGACCAGCCACACUGGAACUGAGACACGGUCCAGACUCCUACGGGAGGCAGCAGUGGGGAAUUUUGGACAAUGGGCGCAAGCCUGAUCCAGCAAUGCCGCGUGCAGGACGAAGGCCUUCGGGUUGUAAACUGCUUUUGUACGGAACGAAAAGGUCUGCCCUAAUACGGCGGGCUCAUGACGGUACCGUAAGAAUAAGCACCGGCUAACUACGUGCCAGCAGCCGCGGUAAUACGUAGGGUGCAAGCGUUAAUCGGAAUUACUGGGCGUAAAGCGUGCGCAGGCGGUUUUGUAAGACAGAUGUGAAAUCCCCGGGCUCAACCUGGGACCUGCAUUUGUGACUGCAAAGCUAGGGUACGGCAGAGGGGGAUGGAAUUCCGCGUGUAGCAGUGAAAUGCGUAGAUAUGCGGAGGAACACCGAUGGCGAAGGCAAUCCCCUGGGCCUGUACUGACGCUCAUGCACGAAAGCGUGGGGAGCAAACAGGAUUAGAUACCCUGGUAGUCCACGCCCUAAACGAUGUCAACUGGUUGUUGGGUCUUCACUGACUCAGUAACGAAGCUAACGCGUGAAGUGA